GACGAACCGAGCGAACGUUGUUCGGAAUCACUGGGCUUAAAGGGCGCGUAGGCGGGCAUUCAAGUCUGUGGUGAAAUCCUCCAGCUCAACUGGAGAACUGCCUCGGAUACUGGGUGUCUCGAGGGUGGUAGGGGUAUGCGGAACUAUCGGUGGAGCGGUGAAAUGCGUUGAUAUCGAUAGGAACUCCGGUGGCGAAGGCGGCAUACUGGACCACUUCUGACGCUGAGGCGCGAAAGCCAGGGGAGCGAACGGG
RNAcentral lists this ribosomal RNA (253 nucleotides) under uncultured bacterium. RNAcentral's name for it is "partial 16S ribosomal RNA". It matches the Rfam family "Bacterial small subunit ribosomal RNA", at positions 524 to 776 of the family's 1533-position model. The record is from RNAcentral.